This 100-nucleotide transfer RNA is filed under the name Herbidospora sp. NBRC 101105. RNAcentral's name for it is "tRNA-Sec". The record is from RNAcentral. Lineage: Bacteria; Bacillati; Actinomycetota; Actinomycetes; Streptosporangiales; Streptosporangiaceae.
CGCGUUCUUGGCGAGCGGGAGCACGUUGCCGUUGUUCUUCAGCAGCACCUGCGACUUGCGCACGGCCUCGCGGGCCAGCUUCGUGGCCUGGAGGCGCGAC